GAUGAACGCUGGCGGCGUGCCUAACACAUGCAAGUCGAACGAAGAUGCGUGUUUGAUCCCUUCGGGGUGACGAUGCGCAGACUUAGUGGCGGACGGGUGAGUAAUGUAUGAGCAACCUGUCUUCAAGAGGGGAAUAACAGUCGGAAACGACUGCUAAUACCGCAUAACAAGGCGUGAUCGCAUGAUCGUGUUUUCAAAGGAGCAAUCCGCUUGAAGAUGGGCUCAUAUCUGAUUAGAUAGUUGGUGAGGUAACGGCUCACCAAGUCUGCGAUCAGUAGCCGGACUGAGAGGUUGAACGGGCCACAUUGGAACUGAGAUACGGUCCAGACUCCUACGGGAGCAGC
Molecule: ribosomal RNA, 344 nt
Filed under: uncultured bacterium
Lineage: Bacteria
Description: bacterial SSU rRNA
Rfam family: Bacterial small subunit ribosomal RNA
Source: RNAcentral